GUUUUUUAUGUGAUCUCUCAGCCACCGCAGCCUGAGCAGACAUUAAUAUCACAAAAAGACUAAAAUCUGGGAUAUGAUCUAACCUAAUUUUUUUUCCAUUUUCUCUCUAAUCUUCAACAUUCUUAUUCCCCUUUCUCUUUGGAUUUGUGUUCUUCCUCUCUUUUCUCUCUUCAAAUAUAUCAGCCACUCUCGCUCCCUUCUCUCAUCAACACCAAUAUUUGUUAGAACCUUAAGCUCUCGCAUAUGAUGUCUCGUGAAUCUCACAGUCAUGGGACAAAACUUCGCCGCCGAGAAAGGAAUUCCCCAAAUUCGAAACCAUACUUCUCCUCCGAAGAAAUCCUCAAGGGAUUUGAGAAACCAAUAUCGUUUAGGUUACUGGCGGCUAAAGUAAUGGAUAUGGAGAAAGCAGGUACGAUGUAUUUCAUCUCAAGCAGAUAUGACGAUCCUUGUUAGAUGUUCGUCCUUAGAAGGAUACUCAAAAAAGGUGAUAAAUAGAUCCAUUAUCUUGUUUUAUUGUAAUAUAUUUUUGUUAACUGAUUGUGGUGUCGGAUAAUUUCUUUGUCUUCUAAUUUUUUUUUCAAAGUUGUUGUUGUUGUUGUCGUUGUUGGUUUUGAUUACAAGUACAAUUUUUAAGGUUUAAUUAUUUUGUUAAUCAGAUCAAAGAAGGAGAUCAAAGGUAGAGACCAUAUGUGUACAACUAAUUCCAUUGAAUGACACCAUUCCUUCACUUAUGUCUGAUUUUGAUGUUAUUAUAUGUUCCUUGUGUUCCUUUUACUUUGUAACCCUAGUACGACGUCUUCAGAUCUGGAAGUGACAACAAAGGAAUCUCCAUUGAAGAUCAAUACGCCACCGAUAAGCCUCCAAGGUCCAAUCGAACCAGGCUUGAACCAAAAUUUGAACAAUUAGAGAAGUAAACCGGGUUUAGUCAGCUGGUACACCGUUAUGACUUUUGUUUAGGCAGACGGAGUUAGAGGGGGAAUCUUAACGCUUUUGUUUUUGCGGGGUUGUUUUGUAAACUUUAAGUUUUAUUUGGGGGUUGGGGCAAAAUAUGUAAAUACGGUUUAACAAUUUAUUUUCUCGGUUUAUCGCAUUAAUUAUGAAGUCUCUAUCUCUCUCUUAACUUA
Camelina sativa (false flax) is the source of this 1124-nucleotide non-coding RNA. The record is from RefSeq and is a predicted model, not a curated record. Lineage: Eukaryota; Viridiplantae; Streptophyta; Magnoliopsida; Brassicales; Brassicaceae.